AUACGGAGGAUGCGAGCGUUAUCCGGAUUUAUUGGGUUUAAAGGGAGCGUAGGUGGGAUAUUAAGUCAGCUGUGAAAGUUUGGGGCUCAACCUUAAAAUUGCAGUUGAUACUGGUUUCCUUGAGUACGGUACAGGUGGGCGGAAUUCGUGGUGUAGCGGUGAAAUGCUUAGAUAUCACGAAGAACUCCGAUCGCGAAGGCAGCUCACCGGGCCGGAACUGACACUGAUGCUCGAAAGUGCGGGUAUCAAACAGGAUUAGAUACCCUGGUAGUCCGCACCGUAAACGAUGAAUACUCGCUGUUUGCGAUACACGGUAAGCGGCCAAGCGAAAGCGUUAAGUAUUCCACCUGGGGAGUACGCCGGCAACGGUGAAACUCAAAUGAAUUGACGGGG
Molecule: ribosomal RNA, 393 nt
Filed under: uncultured bacterium
Lineage: Bacteria
Description: partial 16S ribosomal RNA
Rfam family: Bacterial small subunit ribosomal RNA
Source: RNAcentral